RNAcentral lists this transfer RNA (97 nucleotides) under Paraburkholderia saeva. RNAcentral describes it as "Paraburkholderia sp. LMG 31841 tRNA-Sec". It matches the Rfam family "Selenocysteine transfer RNA". The record is from RNAcentral. Lineage: Bacteria; Pseudomonadati; Pseudomonadota; Betaproteobacteria; Burkholderiales; Burkholderiaceae.
AGGAAGGCAUUCGCAUCCGGUGGUGCGGCUGGGCUUCAAACCCAGUAGGGGGUGUCAGACACUCCCUGGUCGGUUCGACUCCGGCGGCCUUCCGCCA